Molecule: long non-coding RNA, 841 nt
Filed under: Phaseolus vulgaris (common bean)
Lineage: Eukaryota; Viridiplantae; Streptophyta; Magnoliopsida; Fabales; Fabaceae
Description: long non-coding RNA (PVUL_LNC001317)
Source: RNAcentral
CAGCGGCGCAACACACAUUGAAUCUCGGCUUCUUCUUCCAAAUCUCAUUCAUCUCUCAUUCAUAAAGGUAAGUAUCAUUCAUGUGUUCCAGACUUUGAGAUCCGUUUUUUUCAUGGAUUGUUGUUUCCGUAAAUGUUAUUUCACAUUCCAAAUCACAGAAUCCGGUAGAUUUUCGAAUUUGGGAAUCUGGUACUUUCCCGGAUUUGUGGAUCCGGUAGUUUCCCGGAUGUGAGGAUCCGUCACCUUUCCGGAUUUGUUGAUCCGGUAGUAGUCCGAAUUUGGUUAUCCGGUAGUAUUCCAGAUUUAUGAAUCCGGUAGUGUUUAUAUGUAGCAAAAGCUUUAAUUCGUAAAUGGUUAUUGAAGUAGGAAAACCAUUAGACCUCUGUUUACUAUUCCUCUAUUUUUUUUGCUUCGUUUUUUUUGCUUGGAACUUCUCCUUUACCUCUAAAAAUAGCUAAGCAUUUUCGACAGCCAAGGAAAGGUUCAUCAAAUGUUCAUGUAUACUUUAUAAAAGAUUAGAAUUAGAUGACAUGUACACUGUUAGUGCAGGGUACCACAUGCAAAUUUAUGCAGGUUUAUCAAUAUAAGCUGAAUAUAACUUGAAUGGUGUAAUUGAACAGAAAUGGUGAAGACUAGGGGAGGAGGUUCACAAGGUGAUCGUCUACGUCCCACAACCUCUGUUAGAAGAAGAAGACAUGUUAAUGAAGAUGAAGAACAUGUUGAACAUGAAGGUGCAGAAGAUGUUGAUGUUGAACUUGAAGAAGCUGAACCCCAAAUGGAGGUGGAGGAUGAAGACGCACCUGAAAUAGAAGGUGAAGGUUAUCCUGGAGGUCCACGGGAU